RNAcentral lists this long non-coding RNA (15234 nucleotides) under Daucus carota (carrot). RNAcentral's name for it is "long non-coding RNA (DCAR_LNC006535)". Lineage: Eukaryota; Viridiplantae; Streptophyta; Magnoliopsida; Apiales; Apiaceae. The record is from RNAcentral.
AAGUUGAAUCUAAUUUUAAACCGAGAAAUGUGUGUUUAUCUAAUAAGUCAGAAUUUCAUUUAAAGCAGAAGUUAGUUUGAUAUAUAUACCUUUUCUAGUUACAAAAAAUUUGGAUUAAAAGUUACCCAUAAAUCAUUUUUUUUAUUGUUAUAUUUUUAAUAACUCAUAAGUUUUAAUAAAUCAAAAUUAUCUGAACAGACAUUUUAAACUCUCAGUUUAUCACAUUAAGUCAUGUUAAAUUAUAUAUCACAAAUUUUAAAUUCAGCCAAACAAAUUCAAUAUAUAACACACCCUCCAUCCCCCUUAUCAUAAUUUUACUGUUUACGAGAUAAGGUCAACAUACAUUACAUAUACACCCACUUGGUAUCUUAUUCACAUUUCAAGUCCUUAUAUUUUGACGGGGACAAUGUGUCCGAUUAAUAUUACACAUUUCAAGUCCCUUGUAUUCUAAGUGGGACAAUGUGUCUGUGUAAAUUUGGUUCGGUUCGAUAAUUUAUUGCACAAAUAAUAUAUCUAAGUGUGUAUGCAAAUGCUUGUGGUGUGCAGGUUUCAGCCUCGAAAGUGCUCCAAGAGACAUGCAACUACAUAAGAAACUUACACAGAGAAGUGGACGACUUAAGCGACAGACUCUCAGAACUUCUGGAGUCCACGGACAGCAACAGUGCUGAGGCAGCUGUUAUAAGGAGCUUACUUAUGUAAUGCUGGAGAAUUAAACAACCUAAUUAUUUCAAGUUUAUGUUAUAAUUAGUUGCCUUUUUAAGCCUAAACCUAAUUAGGGUUUUCCGUCUUAUCAUUAUCUCAUCAUGGUGAUCCUUGCUAUAUAUAUAUAAGCAAUUAUAGGGUCCAUGAUUAUAAUUUCUUUAAUUAGUAAUAUAUGUUUUUAGUGUUAUGAAUUAUGAUGAAUUUAUCAGCUAGCCAAUGUUGUCCACAUCUUCCUAUAUAUUAUAUUAUAAUAUAUACAUGUGUAUCCUCAAUAAUCUUACGUAGAAAAGCUGAUAGAUUUUUAAAGAGCUGGUUGAAAAAGUAGUUCCAUUUUUCUGAUGGUGGAAGUUUAAUAAAAUGGUAUAGUUCGCAAUGUAAAUACUGUAUUUUUUUGAAAUUUUAUCUCCAGAAAACCGACCAAAUUUGCUCAUUUCCGACCAAGAAUGGUAAAAAAAACCCAGAAAACCGACCAAAUGUAUACAUUUCUGACCAAAUUCAUAUCCUAAAACCCAGAAAAACGACCAACUAAUUUCUGACCAACUCAUUUCCGAUCAGAUGUAUGCAAUUUGGGUGGUCGGUUUUAGAACAGAAGCUCCCCCAAUGGACCCUGAAAGCCAUUUCCGACCAACUCAUUUUCGACCACUGUGUGGUCGGUUUUAGACCAGAAGCUCAUCCAAUGGGCCCUGAAAAGGCAUUUCCGACCGAAUCAUUUCCGACCACAAUGUGGUCGUUUUUACAACUGGGCCCCACAGCUGAGCCUUGAACUUCUUUACCGACCAACACAUUUCUGACCGUCAUUGGUCGGUUUUGAGACAAUCCACGUGUAUGACACGUCAACGGUGGGCCAGAUUUAUCUGAUACGAUCCACGUGUAUAUGGACAUGGAAACACAUUUCCGACCGAUAGAAUCGGUCGGUUUUAUAACUCAUUUCGGACCGAUACGGCAUUUCCGACUCGGUUUAAAGGGACCGACGUGGUCGGUCGGUCGGUGGUCGGAAAUGACCUCAAAACCGACCGAUUUUGCUUAUUUCCGACCGAUUUUGGCUGUCGGAAAUGCCCGCUUUUCUUGUAGUGAUUAUUUUAAUUAUAAAAAAAUUGUUAAAAAGUCAACCUUAACAACUUUCCCGAAAAAUAUAAAUAAUUAAUAUCAUCUUAUUGCAAUUUAAAAUUUGGAUCAAUGAAAUAUUAAAGUGGAUUAAUCUUGUCACUAUUUUGAAAUUUAGUCAAUAUAGAGUAAUGUUCAUUUACGAUCAAAUGAAGUAUAAUUCUGAAUAUACCUUUUCUUUUCAAAACUGUUCCCUCUCCGAUUUAAGCAACGUUACGUACAUGCACUGAGCUAUGGCUAGACCCUGAGGAAUAAACUAGCUAGCUAGUUGCUAAUUUAACUAGCUGCUCAUAAAUGAAAACUAAUUACUAGGUUAACGAAGUUUAGGUUUUAUAAUUAUGGUCAAUUUAAUAUCUGUCAUACUACAAUUUUUUUUAAAAAGAUCAAAAGUGUAAAAAUUACAUUGAAUAUUUUACAACGUUUUUGUGCACGAAUUCUCGAUAUAACAUAUAUAAUACGUAAUCAUGUCAAUUAUUUUUAAUAUAUAGACAAAACUACACUAAUAUAUAUGUCGUCCCUGUAAAUGAUCUAUUGUUUCCAGAUAUAUAUAUACAUCGAACAACAAAAAGGCUCUAUAUUAUAUUGUAUAGUACUGGACACCACCGUAUACACACGUUCAUACUCGAUCCAAUAAACCUAGCUAUACCUAUGUCGAUUUAAUCAAAGAUCACUUAAUUUUCACUCCAACCACGGAUUUCAAAUUUUUGGACAUAUUCUAAUUAGUGGAUAUUUUUUGGCUUUUCACAGUCCAAGUACGAAAUGCAACAAAAUUAUCAUUGAUAAAUCCCGAACAAAAUCGGUCAUGAGUUCAUAAUCGGUAUAAGGAAGUGAUUGAUUUAUAUUUUAUAUCGACUUAAUCGGGUUUGGAAAUUUUUACCAACCAAAUAUAAGAAAAUGGAGUAUAUAUCAGGAUUUUUUUAAUCAAAGCUAUCAGUAGAGAUUUAGAUUCUCUCUGUACACCUGGACCAACCUCACAACCUUUUCUGAUUGUCGACCAAAUCAUAUAUUCAUAUAUAGUUACGAACAUAUGACAACCUAUCACAUAUUUUCUGUUAAAACUUAUCCAUAUAUAUGAGGUUCAAAAUAAAAACUAAUCCAUCAACACGUCAGGUUAAAAGUUAAAAUAGCAUCAUACAACGAAGUCACAUGAUAGACAUAAUACCAAUUGCUCAGUUCGAAUUUUCUAUGGCGUGUCCAAUAAUCACUAAAUCCAAUGAAAAUACUAACAUUAAUUGGUAAAUGGAUAUUAGAUGUUGAUGGCCCCCCUCAUUCACACCAAUUCCACCAAUCAAAUUAAGUCAUGUUCAUAAAAGUUGGUGUUUAGCAUGUGCCCAUGGGGCUCACUAGAAAAACCGUACUCAAUUUACUUUAUCCUUGAAGUAAAAAUGUAGUUUUGAGAUCCGACAAAAGAGCUUUUUCAAGGAGUACAUUGAUCCUUUGUAAUAUUAAAUUUUUGUAAAAUAUUACUAUUUUAAAAAUCUGAAAAAAUAUUAUGUUUUGAAUUUUUAUAAAAUUACGUUUUACAACUGGAUGGAACCUGACAUAAUUAUCAAUAAUCAACAUUCAAUACAAUAGAAAAUAAUUUCACCUUUUUCCCAAGAACAAUACAUAUAAACAUAACAUUAUAUUCCAAAAAAAAAUUAUGAGUAAUCAUAUACGAUAUUAUUUGGAUAUUAUAUCAUUAUAUUUCAGUGAUCAAAAACUAAAUAUUUUACGAAAAUAGAAUGAUUUCAUUCAAUAUUGAUAAUAAUGAAAUCACAGAACAAAUGUGGUAUAUUAUCUAAGAUAUUAUUAUAUAUAGGGUCGAGAGAAUCUAUCUUUAAAAUAGAAUCAUAGAACCAUUAAAGUUCCACCGUAGAACCUCUAGGGUUCUGCUGCAUGACCCUAAAUUUUAAAUAUAUUUUCGGUAUUUAAAUAUAAAUAUAUCUUUUUUUACAUAAUGUGUGUUCAAAACUAAUUUUAAAAUAUAUUACAUAAACACGACACUAUUUGCAUGUGCAUCUGCAGAACAGGGGUUCUAAGAAGAUAAUGAUCAUUUAUAUAUACUGAGUUUUGGUUGGAUUUCAAAUUAAGUACUGAUUUUCUAUUUUAAAAUACAGUUCUUUUUCGAAAUUUUUCAAAUUCAAAUAUAUAUUCAAAUUAUCAAAUUCGAUAAUAUCCAAUUAAAUCGGAAUAAAUCCAUCGAAUUAAAUUUUUCUGCGUUCUGUGAAAGAGACCCGGGUUUAUAGGUCAGCCUCCAAGGAGAAAACCAGAAUGCACCUAACAUGUGGCUCAGGGUCCACUAUUAAUAUUUUUGGUUGCCAAGGAAAAACGAACCCGUGAUGGAGAAAUAUAUGGUCUGUGCACCAGGGUCCGCCCUGUCUGCGUUGGAUAUAUCGUUGUAUUUUUCUUGUCUCCGGGCCGUGUUUGGGUUUUUAUAUUUUCGUGGUGGCCAAUUUGAUGGUUAAAAGCAGCCACAAUAUGGAUUUAAGGUUGAAUCUUAAAGCCGUAUGCCCUGUCUAUUCGAUUAUGCAUCCGAUUUAUAAGUUUGCCAUGUUACUUUGGUAGUACGAAAAGUGGACUUGGUCUGUAAGUUUCAGCUUGGUCAUGUAUAGGGGCUGUUUGGACGAGUUUAAAAUAAAUGCUUCUUACUUAAAAUAAAAAAGUGAAGUGAAGAUUAGAAAUUAGACACGACUUAUAAGUGAUUAAACUGUUUGACAAAUAAGUAGAAGUCCUGAAACAAAAGCUAGUAAUCCUAGCUUUUUUAAGUGCUUCUUGAUUUUUUACACAAAUAGUACAAAUAAAUGUUUAUAACUUAUAAAGCAGAAGUUGGGUUUAUAAGUCAUUGCCAAACACCACAUAAUGUUAGUUCAUGAGCAUAUAUUAAGAAUAAAUUUUUAUUUAGAUCAAUUGUUCUAUUACAUAUAAGGGUUAUUAUUAUUAGUAAAGUUGAAAUAAAUAAAAUUCAAUAUGCUAAUAAAAAGUCUACAAUGUAUUAUUGAUUUUAGUCAUGUCACUGAUAAUAGAAUCAUUCUAUACAUAUAAACUAUAAAAUUAAAAUUAGAUAUCCAUUUUUAUCUGAGAAAAAAGUUUACACAUAUAAUUUAACAUAGAAAGACAUAUUUUGAGAAAUCAUUAGAAUAUGAUCUUUGUAAACCCUCCUCCAGGAUCAUAUUCUAACAGAUAUGUAGGAGCUAUUUUUAUUGGUGCACCAAUAUUAAACAUGCUCCAUUGUGGUUGCAGAACGGUUUCAAAAAAAUUUACAUAAUUAAUAAUUUUAGAUUUCGAAUUCUCUUUUAUUAUACAUGGUUUCAAAAUUUAGAUAGCCUCCAAGGCUACAAUGGAUUUAUUAUAAAGUGCAACAACUCGUGAUUGUUGGGCUUAACAAAAAAAAAUUAUGGCUGAUUUGGCCCAAACACCAAACUGUUUCUUGAUUGAUUUAAAUCUAACAGUUUUCUUUAACAAAAAUGCAAAGAUCACUUGAUUAGAAAGCCCGCUUCAUUUUUUCAUGCGGCCCAAAGCCCCAAACUUUAUGAUACUAUUGUCUAAGAAAAAGUUUAUAAAUCUAGUGCCCUUUAUUGAACUACUUAAAAUACGCGUUGGUGGUGUAAUUCUAGAGUCAUUAGUCAAUGAAGGAAUAUCACAAUCACAUGGACGUGUUUAAAGAUUGAAGAGGAAAAUAAAAUAACGAGUUUGAUUUUCACGCAAGUUUUUUUUAAUUCGUUAGCACGCUAUGUGGCAUAUAGAAUAUAACUCGCGAGAACGGUUGAAGGGUCAAGACCGAAGACUAAAGAGCCUUGCGUGGCUUUCAAAUUGAUCAAGGUAAUUAAGAUCCGAAAUUGAAUGCCACUCAAAUGUACAUCUAGGUUAAUGUAAUGGUGGAUUAUGUAUAAGAUAUAGAACUAGAGCACAUAGUCAUUCGAUAUGAUUUACAAAAUUUAGAAAAAACAUUUUCAACAAGCCCGUUUAUAAGAUCCAGUAUUCCUUACAUGUAAAAUUAAAUAAAUCGAUUUAACUAAUUUGUUAAAACAAACCCAUUUAGUUAAAAAAGCAAGCUCGAUUCGACUCAUAAAAUUAAAUAAAAUAAAUUCGGACUCAGAUUUUGACUUGGUUCAAUUAAACGAACCGAUUCGUCUGACUCUGUUAAACCUCGAAUUACUUUCGCUUCAAAAUUUGGAUUAUAGUGUCCAAAUUGUAUCCUCUCAAAAAUUAUUAAAUAUGAAUAUGAGUGGAUAUCGAAUUAAGAUUUCAAUCGGAUUUUAUUUAUUUUACGAGUUCGAACAAACUUCCCACGUUCAGACGAAGAUACAAAAUCAUAAAGUCAAAGACCACAAACAUUGACUUGUCGGUACCCACAUCAAAUUCCUCUUUUACCCGCCGGCGGGUGCACCGUAACUUCCCAAACCACACUUCCCUUUUUCACUGCGGUUAAUUCACCCCGCCCAAAUUAACUUUUACCCUUCCCCUCUUCAUUUCCUUGCUCUCUACAUUACAGAUCCAAAUUUGACUCCACCAUUACACAUCCACACCCGAUCCCUCCCCCUCCUAUACACACAUGAGCCUAUAGACACAAACGUAUCGAUAAUUUCGGGUUGUUAGAGGCCGUUGGAGAUGGAUUCCACAUCGAUCCGCGUGCCUUACAAGCAUCUCAAACAAGCUGAAGUUGAAAUGAACCGAUUCGAUGAGUCGGUGGAUCGUCGCGGUCGAUUAGAUCAUGUUAAUUUGAAUGGCGCUGCGGCGAAUGCGGAGAGUGCGGAGAAUGCGUCUUCGUCGCAGCAGCAGCAGCAGCAGAGGAGUGAGGGGAUUAGUAUGGUUACGUUAGUGUUGAGCUGUACGGUGGCUGCUGGUGUUCAGUUUGGUUGGGCGUUGCAGCUGUCGCUUCUCACUCCUUACAUUCAGGUCUCUCUCUCUCUCUCUCUCUCUCUCUCUCUCUCUCUCUCCUCUCUCUCUCUCUCUCUCUCUACUCUCUCUCUCUCUCUCUACUCUCUCUACUCGUCNNNNNNNNNNNNNNNNNNNNNNNNNNNNNNNNNNNNNNNNNNNNNNNNNNNNNNNNNNNNNNNNNNNNNNNNNNNNNNNNNNNNNNNNNNNNNNNNNNNNNNNNNNNNNNNNNNNNNNNNNNNNNNNNNNNNNNNNNNNNNNNNNNNNNNNNNNNNNNNNNNNNNNNNNNNNNNNNNNNNNNNNNNNNNNNNNNNNNNNNNNNNNNNNNNNNNNNNNNNNNNNNNNNNNNNNNNNNNNNNNNNNNNNNNNNNNNNNNNNNNNNNNNNNNNNNNNNNNNNNNNNNNNNNNNCUCUCCCUCUCCCUCUCCCUCGCCCUCUCUCUCUCUCUCUCUCUCUCCCCCCCUAACUUCUUUUAGUUUCUCGGAGUAGAGCUUGUAUAAGUUGUGAUUUGAAUUUAGAUGUUUUUUGUGUAUAUAGAUUGCGAGUUUACUUUUAUUGAUAUGUUAUGGUUAUAUGUAUGUGUGGACUUGAUUGAUUGCUCGUAUCUAGUACUCAUAGAAGUUGUGGAUGUAUUUAUUUUGUAUGUAGCUUGCGACUUUAUGUUGUAUUGGUAUGUUAUUGUUGGAUAUGUGUGUGUACUUAACUGAUCACUCCUAUUUAGAACUGGUAUGAAUUAUACUUUGAGUGUUAGAUGGAUGUGUUUGAACAUAUAGAUUGUUAUUCCAGGUUUUAUAGAUAUGUUAUCGUUAGAUAUAUGUGUUGUAGUUGAUUGCUUACUCAUAUUUGGAUAUAAGUUUUAUUGUUUUCAGAAUUUAGAUUGCUAAUUAGUGUGUAAUUUGUAUAGGGUCAUUUCUGAUUAUAUCGUGUGUGUAGAUAGUACCUCUUAUCUGAGUCUUCAUGUCUGGAAAUUUGGAUCAGCAGCUGAAUCUUUUUAGGUUGUUAGUGUUAGUAGUGAAUAGACUAGAAGUGUGUUCUCAGUUGUGCUUUAUUUGGAAAGUUUUUAUGAGAUUGACUUGUGCUCUGAUCAAAUUAGUGAGAAUAAGAUCAUGCUUUAAUGUUCUGAUGAAUAAUAAAGAAUGAAUCAGAAAUUAAUCUCGAGUUAGGGAGAUUUAAAGUCAUGUAAUUACUAAGAGUUGGUAAGAGAUGUGGUAUUUUGAUUAAAACAAUAAAGAAUGAAUCAGAAAUUAAUCUCAAGUUAGGGAUUGUUAAAGUCAUGUAGUAAUUUUGAAUUAUUACUAGUUGGAAACCCAUGUUAGGUAAUUAACUAUGUAAUGUUGACGUUGUGAACAUACCUUCCGCUUUUAUCUUUACAAUAGAGACUAAUACAAAUUCUUUCAUUUUUUGACCUUCUGGUCUUCUGUUGAAUCAAACAAUGAAACAGUUGAAUUCGAAUGCCAUUAAAUCUUAAGAAGAAAGCUAAAUGAAACAAACAAAACACACACUCGAAGUGUAGAGGAUCAAAACUCCCUAAAUAAAUACACAAUAUGAAUAUGUAAAUCUACAACCACUAUAUAAUUUACUUAGUAUUUGUAAGUCACAAUAACCACCAUAUAUUUUACCUAAUAGUAUAUGUAUAUAUAUUGCCAACAAAUGUUAGCAGAAGAGAAUAGUUGAAUUUCAUGAGCGUGUGGGUAAGGGAUUUUUACAAAUUCCAUGAGAACCCAGUUGGUAAGAGAUCUCUACAAAAUAAUGUUUCUCUUGCAGAAUAUGGAACUGAACUUUCAGUUAUUUAAAUUGUGUAAAAUUAAUGCAAAGUUAUUGAAAUGUUCAAUUUACAACAAUUAAUAAAUUCAGGACAACUAAAAUAGGAAAAGUGGUCAUUAUAAAUGCGACUGAGUGUUAUUUGUCUAGGGAGCAACAAAUAUGUUGAAUCUUACUUUAAAGUUUGACAUAUUUUGCAUUCAGAAUUCAGUAAGUGCACAACCAUAUUUGUAAUUUAUAUGUCAGUAGUUAUUUUAAUUUUUUCUCUGUCACUAGUCCGCCUCAAUACCUUUCCUUCACUCAUAUGCAGUGCUUGUUGCUUAAGUUAUAGUAGGCUGGUAAAUUAUUUUGUAAUAUUGUUAUUUUGCUUUGUGCAGACACUUGGAAUAGGGCAUGCCUUCUCUUCAUUUAUCUGGCUCUGUGGUCCUAUUACUGGCCUUGUGGUAGGCGCAGCUUAUUAUUUUCUGUAAAGUUUAUAAGUUAAAUGGAAUCCUGUUAUUUAUAUAUUCAUCUGGAUUUGAAUCUGAUGAUAGCCUUGAUCAGUUCUAUGUAGACACAUAACAGUAGAUAGUCAACUACUGCUUCUGUUAGAACUUCUUUAGCAAACCAUGUCUUCGUUGUCUAUUGCAAAAUUUAAUUACAGAUGCACUUUUCUUGGAUGUGGUCCUAUAACAUACUUGCAUAUAUUUAAGAGUCAAUAGUGAUGUACAUAUUGCAGUUCCUGCUGAUAUAUUUUUAUUUUUUCCUUCUUGUUGAGUUCAGGUUCAACCUUGUGUUGGUAUCUGGAGUGAUAAGUGCACUUCAAAGUAUGGAAGAAGACGACCAUUUAUAUUAGUUGGAUCUCUCAUGAUAUCAGUUGCUGUGAGCUUUACCGAACCAAUUUAAUUUUCUCUCAUAAUUAUUACACACUGCUCGUCAUUUAGCUGAAUUACAUAUCUAUAUGUAGGUGAUAAUAAUCGGGUUUUCUGCAGACAUUGGGUACCUUCUAGGUGAUUCGAAGGAGCAUUGCAGGUCUUCUGCCUUCUGCCUUUCCUUUAAUUUAUGUUAUUUUAUUUUAAUUGUUUGAUCACUCUCUGUUAAUUAACUAAUGCAGAACAUAUAAAGGUACUCGGACAAGAGCGGCUAUUGUGUUUAUAGUAGGGUUCUGGAUGCUGGAUCUUGCCAAUAAUACCGUCCAGGUUUGCAACCUCAACAUUUUACUAUGCACUUGGCUGAAAAAAACUUUGAACUAUUUCAUUAUAUGCGAAGCUUAGUUUUCUGAUUGCAUGUAGGGCCCAGCUCGAGCUCUUUUGGCAGAUUUAGCAGGUGAAAAGAUACUCAUCUUAAAUUUAUUCUAAUAAACUAUAGAACCAGCUCCCAUCAUAUUCUGUUGAUAUAUUUUGCCACAGCAUGUUCGUUGGUGUAUAGACUGGUUAAGCAUUUUGUUCCUUUGUAAUAGGUCCUGAUCAAAGAAAUUCCGCAAAUGCCAUAUUCUGCACAUGGAUGGCUGUAGGCAAUGUCCUAGGCUUUUCUUCUGGUGCAAGUGGAGACUGGCACAGGUGAAGUAUCCUUGAUCUGUUUUAAAGAGCUCAUAUAUUGUGCAAUAUUUUCUAUAGCACUUGGUAAUAUACAGCAUGCCUCUUAAAUUGGGCCAUUAUAAGUCUCAACAAACUUAAAUUAACUGUUAUCUGCAUUGGAAGUUGUCUGGAUAAAUUUAUAUAUUUCCUGCAGCCAUCUUCUAGGGGUUCAAUUAAUCUUGCAUUUCAUUUCUGAGCAGAUGGUUCCCUUUUUUAAUGAGUAGAGCUUGCUGUGAAGCUUGUGGAAAUCUGAAGGCAGCAUUUCUAGUUGCUGUGGUAAGUUAUUAGUUUUGCAAACACGCUCGCUGUAUAGCUAAAUUUCUCUGGUUAUGAUUUUGGGUGCUAUUCCAAUAUGUUUCUCACAAAUCUUUAUGAAUGUUUACUUAUUAUUGAGCAUUUCUGGAAUUACUAAUGUCUAUAUUGUAUUGUAAAUUUGAAGUUUAGUAAUAUAUAUCAGUAAUAUACACUCAACAAUUGUCUCUGGUCUGUGGCAGGUUUUUUUGAUUCUAUGUACACUUGUAACUCUUUAUUUUGCAAAGGAGGUUCCCUUGAUUCUGAAUCAAGCUCAGCGUUUAUCAGAUUCAGCUCCCCUUUUGAACGAACAUCAAGUUGGUUAUAAUCCCUCAAAAUCAGGAACUGGCAUGCAACUAGUUGACAAUUCAUCAGGGAUGAAUUCUGAUACUGAUCUAAAAGUAGGAAAUGAUCAGAAGAGUGAAAACCAUGAGGUUGAGGAAGACAAGGUUGAAAGUUUCAGCAAUAGUCCUGGUGCAGUCUUGGUCAAUUUGUUAACAAGCUUACGGCAUUUGCCACCAGCUAUGCAUUCAGUUCUGGUUGUAAUGGCGCUUACCUGGGUAUGUUUUGCAUUUUUGUACAUAGCUGACAUGAUGUUCUACAGAUACACAAUCGAUACAGAUUCUUGAUUCAUUAUAGAAAAAUUUAGUGAGCUUAUUCUUGCAGAUGUUUUCAAUAACUAUUCUUUCUGCAGUUAUCCUGGUUUCCCUUUUUCCUCUUUGACACUGAUUGGAUGGGAAGAGAAGUUUAUCAUGGUGACCCAAAUGGAGAAAUAACUGAAGUAAAAGCUUAUGAUCAUGGUGUCAGAGAAGGUGCUUUUGGUUUGCUGUUGAAUUCAGUAAGAACUCAUAAUCAACAAAAUACUCUUCAGCUUCAUAGAUAUCUUUAUUAUAAUAAUAGAAAUUUGUGGAUAAUGAAAGAAUAUUGUGCAUACAGUUAUAAUGGGUGAGUUGUAGGGAUCUAAACAUUGUAAAUUAUUGCAAUUGUUUUAACAUCAUAUUUUCUUUUGGGGCAGAUUGUACUUGGAGUCAGCUCCUUUCUUAUUGAACCAAUGUGCAAGUUGGUUGGCUCAAGAUUAGUUUGGGCAACAAGUAAUUUUAUUGUGUUUGCAUGCAUGGCAGCAACUGCUGUUAUUAGCUACAUUUCUGUCAAAGAAUCUUCCACACAGGUUGGGCAUACUAUUCGAGGGAAUGAAAGCAUUAAGAUUGCUUCUCUGGUUGUUUUUGCUAUUCUGGGCUUCCCUCUGUCUGUAAGUCUUUCCCCACUCCCAGCUUCGUAUGCCUAUGAAUAUGUGUUUUUUUAUCUUUCUAACAACUGUAUUCCUUCUCCAGGUUACUUAUAGCGUUCCAUUCUCAGUCACUGCUGAGUUGACAGCUGAUUCUGGGGGUGGCCAAGGUCUGUAUGAUAUAUUUUCCUUGUGUCAUGUAUUUAAGCAACAGAGUCAUUUCUGAUCAUGAAUAUUUUACACAUCUGUGCAGGAUUGGCAAUAGGAGUUUUAAAUCUUGCAAUUGUUGUACCCCAGGUAUUUUAGAGCUUUCGAAUUAGUGUUAUUCUUGCAGUAAUGAAGGCUUGGUUUGUUUGCAAAAAAAAAGUUUAACUGGAAAAAAAAAUCUUAGAAAAUACUCUAUGGAAAAAGAAGUGGAAAAAUAUUUUUUCAAAAAAUGAUUUCCGGUUAUUUGAUUAUAUCAUGAAGUGGUAAGACAAUGUUCAAUUUAGAAAAAAGAAUUCCCCUUUUCGAAAGAGGAUGUAAUUAACAUGUUUCAUAACAUGUUUCAAAGAAAGUCUAUAAACAAAUACGGAAAUCUGGGACAUAUGUUCCUGAAAUAAAAUUAAUGCUGAAAGUCAGAUAUUCGUGAAAAUUGCGGAGCCUAAACAAGCACCAGAAAUUAAGAGUGUAUUUUCUAAGUGACCUUUGUUGUAGUUAUUAGGAGAAGGCUGCUAGUCUCAGCGUGUAACAUAUUUUCCUUGAUAUCCUUUGUCAUAGAUGAUUGUGUCCCUUGGUGCUGGUCCCUGGGAUGAAUUGUUUGGUGGAGGUAACGUACCCGCAUUUGUCCUGGCUUCCUUAUCUGCCCUGGCUGCUGGCGUUAUUGCAAUACUCAAGCUGCCAAACCUUUCAAGUUCUUUUAGGUCCACAGGUUUUCAUUUCGGGUGAGGCUUCCUAAAGUAAAAAAUUGACACCAAUUUGUAUAGGCAACCAGAAGAAGAGAGUAGAAGACACUUUCGAGAACAACGGUUUUGAUGCUCUGUGUACAGUUGUAUUCUAUCCCAGAGCUACACAUGAAAGUAUCCUAAUUCGUUUAUUCUUUACCCUUUUUGGAUCUGUACACUGUAACUAAAAUGUAUAAUCAUAGUCAAUUAGUUUAGUCUAUACCAAAAAGAAUAUAGUCAAAUGAUUUUUCGAGGCUUGUAGCAUUUUGUAUGAACCCCAAUUGGCUUUAAUAGACCACGGUCUCUGAUGAUCAUGUUUCACCAGUGACACUUUCUGAGCCCUGUAGAUGUAAUUGAAUCACUUCACUUCAUUAUUAUUCAUAAUAUAUGUGACACGUUGAUUAUUAUUGGAUGAUUUUUAGUUUUUUACUUGUACUUUGGUAGCGUGUACUUGAUUUAUGAUACAGAAGGUACAUUCUGCAUGGGGAAGCAAUAUUUGCGUGGAGUUUACUGUCCCACAGAUGACGGGUUUUCUUGUGAUCUUGAUAUCGCUAAUAAACUACAUGUUGAAAUUCAUACAGUUGUAUGUUCAGUAGGAUGGCAUCUUUACUCUGCUGAGUGGAAGUUUAGCUGGGGACUUUCGAAGAGCAUGGGGAGACCGGAGACCCACUGGAGGAACGAAACUGUAUUCACUGGCCCUUCUGGUGAUCUGACUUCUGCAAAAUGGACCACUGAGGUUAGAAAUUUGUACCAUUGUCCAAGUUUAUAUGUGGGAGCAGCUGAAAGUUUUUGAAAAAUUGGGGAAUUAGGAGAACAAGUGGUUGGGAAAUCACUGUCAAGAGAGGAUAGAGAUUCUUUUCUCCAAUUUUUUGCAAAUGGUAAAAGAAGAAGAAUGAAAUUUCAAGAUGCCGACUGACAGCACAUGGAUUAGGAUCAGAGGGGGCCCUAAACUAAGGCCCAUAUGGCGGACAAGCAAAUUUUACUCUUUUAGUCUUUUCUAUAUUAAAAUUGAGGAAUUUCGAUUUCGACAAAUUAAUCUAGAAAACAAAAAUCAAUAAAUAAUAAAAAAAUCUGACAUCAUAGAGAUAAUGCAUAUUUGAACAUGAUUUAAUAAUCUUGAUAAGUUAAAUAACAUCGGCAGAUCUUAAUUUAUUAAAGUUCGAACUGUGAAUUACAGUUAUAUGCUCAACUUAAUACCUCCUCUGUUUUUUUUAUAUGUCACUCUUGAUUUGGACACGUAUAGUUGACCGGAUAGUAAAAAUCAUUAUUUUUAAUUGUUUUUUUUGUGAAUUAAAAUUUUGAUUAUAUAUUUUUAUUCAUAGAAAAUUUCAAAAAUAAUAUUUUUAAUCACUCGGUUAAAACACUAAAAAGUGUGUGUCAAAAAAUCAAAUGUCAUAUAUUAAAAAAUAGUGGAAGUAAUAUACAAAUGCAACUACAAAUAUACGGUACUAGGAUUAGCGUCAUUGACUACAUUGUAUCCCAUGUGAUUAUUCAUGUUAUCAUGCAUUUAAAAUAUAAAUAUUUCACAUAAAAUAAAUAAAUAAAGAGAGUACGACGUAGAAAAGUAGAAAUGAAAGAACGCAUUGAAAAUGAAUCAGCCGUGGUGCACGGGACGUGUUGGUAGGUGUGUUGUAGAGCUGAGGUGGCACUCCCUUGGAGGCUUGGACCAUAUUUCAGGCUUCUGUAUCGUCAUAUCUGGAUAAAUUAUAAGCUAAUUUAUGAUUUAUAAAUCGAGAAGUUAAAAUCACGAACUUUUUCAUAGUCCAUUUCGAUUUUAAAAUUUAACUUCAUAAAUUUAUUAUAAUUAUUUUAAAAGAUAAUUAAAAAUAUUCUGUAAUUAUAUUAUUCAUUUUACGUAUUAUAAGCUCUGUUCUAAAAGUCGAUGAUUAAUCACGAUUAAUCUCUGAUCCGUAGCUCGUCGAACUGAUUAAUCGCCGAUCAAUCCGAUUAAUCCCCGAUCAAUUCAAUUAAUCCUCGAUUAAUCCUUGUUCUGUAACUUCGCCGAUUAAGUCCGAUUCCCGCUUUUUACAACACUGAUUAUAAGUUAUAAAUAAAAUUAUUCACAUUUCGUACAAGUUAAUUAAAGAUAAUAUUUUAACUUUUUACUUAAAAUAAUAAACAACUUUCAAUUACAUGAAUCUCAUUCAACUUUUCUCUGACAAAGCUAGCUAGUUGCACUUCCGAUCUUGUCUUCUAAUAUCACAAUUUGUUAAAAAAAACAUUUGGUGAAGUCAUUGUAAACAAACGAAUUGCUAUAAUAUUGCGAAAAUGGAAAAUUUAUACAAUAUAGAUAACAUUGGAGUCAGUUCAGUCAUUUUUCUAUCUCCAUGUUUCAGCUUUGUUAUUCACAAGUUAGUAAUCCAUGUAGUUUUCUAACAAACCAAACAUAAUUAUAAUUAAUUAGUAAUAAAAUAUUAAUAUGGCAAAGUCUACAAGUUUAGGGAAGAUUAUAUAAAACUCUCCAGUCUCUAGAGUUCAUGUUGCAUUCACAUAGCCAGACAAGUCUCUCUCUCUCUCUCUCCCAAUCUCUCUCCUAAUCUCUCUCCCUAUCUCUCUCUCUCAUUUUUGUGUAUAUGAAAGUCAGAGCACCGCCAGCAUCUGAAAACUGCAGCAUUAGCUAGCAAGUAUGGAGCUCUCAUAGAAAACCUAUCUUUUCAUUUUCAUAUUUUUUGUUUUGCUUUGGCCUCAGAGAGAAUAUAUAUUACAUACUCACUAAUGAGUACUUGCACCAGAGAGAUGGAUUUUUUCCCAGCAAAUUUUAUGAUACAAAAUCAUCAGCAUCAAGAACAAGAAGAACAAGUUCAUCAGUUUCCUCA